UACUAAGUUCGUAGAGGACACGCUGGCCC
Molecule: small RNA, 29 nt
Filed under: Bombyx mori (domestic silkworm)
Lineage: Eukaryota; Metazoa; Arthropoda; Insecta; Lepidoptera; Bombycidae
Description: piRNA piR-bmo-2208717
Source: RNAcentral